UAGCUACAUACGUGUGGCACACCUACUCUGCUCACCCUCAACACGUGUCUCGCCAACAGUCAAACAGAGCAGAGAAAGGGGCAGAGAGGAGCAGAGGCAGAGGAAGGAGAUGAGGGGAGAUCUGCCGGCCAUGGAUGGCAGUGGCGCCUCAACCACGACACCGUCAGGCUGCUCAAGGCCUUCAGCCGCACCGUCGAGCUGUGCAACUUCGGUAUCGGCCUCGUCGUCGGCUUCCUCCUCGUCACCUGCGCCUACUUGUCCAACACCAAAUUUGACUCCAUCCACAUCGCCCCGCUCAUUGGCCCUCGGAGAACCAGAUUACUUUGCCGCUGGGCACCGACGGCUCGAAGCGCCAAUUAGAUUUGGGCCUUGCGGGGCAGGACACAACAUUAUCCAUGGAGGGAGCAUGGGCAAGGUGGUGGACACGGACGGUGAGGAAGACAGAAUCAACCCCUCCUCGGCGUAAGAUGCUGGAGUCCAGGAGCCAGACGCCACCGUCGACGACGACCCCUACUACACUGGAGGU
Molecule: long non-coding RNA, 526 nt
Organism: Triticum dicoccoides
Lineage: Eukaryota; Viridiplantae; Streptophyta; Magnoliopsida; Poales; Poaceae
Exons: 4
Source: RefSeq, a predicted model, not a curated record